UCUAACGUGGCAGAUAAGUGCGGUGGAUUUAAGCUCCAUAAAUAAAGUCAUUAAACUUUCAUUAGAA
Molecule: transfer RNA, 67 nt
Filed under: Aciculitermes aciculatus
Lineage: Eukaryota; Metazoa; Arthropoda; Insecta; Blattodea; Termitidae
Description: tRNA-Leu
Source: RNAcentral